RNAcentral lists this ribosomal RNA (253 nucleotides) under uncultured bacterium. RNAcentral describes it as "partial 16S ribosomal RNA". It matches the Rfam family "Bacterial small subunit ribosomal RNA", at positions 524 to 776 of the family's 1533-position model. The record is from RNAcentral.
UACGGAGGGGGCUAGCGUUAUUCGGAAUUAUUGGGCGUAAAGAGCGUGUAGGCGGUCCGGUAAGUCCGCUGUGAAAGUCGGGGGCUCAACCCUCGAAUGCCGGUGGAUACUGUCGGGCUAGAGUGCGGAAGAGGCGAGUGGAAUUCCUGGUGUAGCGGUGAAAUGCGCAGAUAUCAGGAGGAACACCUAUUGCGAAGGCAGCUCGCUGGGACGUAACUGACGCUGAGGCGCGAAAGCUAGGGGAGCAAACGGG